Molecule: ribosomal RNA, 420 nt
Filed under: uncultured bacterium
Lineage: Bacteria
Description: bacterial SSU rRNA
Rfam family: Bacterial small subunit ribosomal RNA
Source: RNAcentral
UCGAGAAUCUUCCGCAAUGGGCGAAAGCCUGACGGAGCGACGCCGCGUGCGGGAUGAAGGCCUUCGGGUUGUAAACCGCUGUCGAAGGGGAGCAAAUUUGAGCGAUCCUUGGAGGAAGCACAGGCUAAAUUCGUGCCAGCAGCCGCGGUAAUACGAAUUGUGCGAACGUUAUUCGGAAUCGACUGGGCUUAAAGGGUGCGUAGGCGGUCAUGUAGGUCUGAUGUGAAAUCCCACGGCUCAACCGUGGAACUGCGUUGGAAACCCCAUGGCUGGAGUAGGACAGAGGUGAGCGGAACAGAUGGUGGAGCGGUGAAAUGCGUUGAUAUCAUCUGGAACACCGGUGGCGAAAGCGGCUCACUGGGUCCUAACUGACGCUGAGGUGCGAAAGCUAGGGGAGCAAACGGGAUUAGAUACCCCAGU